Molecule: small nucleolar RNA, 81 nt
Filed under: Drosophila sechellia
Lineage: Eukaryota; Metazoa; Arthropoda; Insecta; Diptera; Drosophilidae
Description: snoRNA:GM27501
Source: RNAcentral
AAAUAAAAAUUGUAACUAUGUGUUUGAAUAUAAGAGAUAAAGCCAUGCUGUUUGUUAAGUCAUUUUUCCCCAACUGAUACA